RNAcentral lists this ribosomal RNA (142 nucleotides) under Apicomplexa sp. RNAcentral's name for it is "partial small subunit ribosomal RNA". It matches the Rfam family "Eukaryotic small subunit ribosomal RNA", at positions 1296 to 1461 of the family's 1831-position model. Lineage: Eukaryota; Apicomplexa. The record is from RNAcentral.
AGUUCGUGGAAUAAUUUGUCUGGUUAAUUCCGUUAACGAACGAGACUUUAACUCGCUAAUUUGUAUCCUUUGCCAUGUGCAUAGGUGCUAAUCAGAAGGACUGCAUAUUCCUAGUAUGAGGAAGCGUGAAGCAAUAACAGGU